This 513-nucleotide ribosomal RNA is filed under the name Actinomyces naeslundii. RNAcentral's name for it is "bacterial SSU rRNA". It matches the Rfam family "Bacterial small subunit ribosomal RNA", at positions 30 to 516 of the family's 1533-position model. The record is from RNAcentral. Lineage: Bacteria; Bacillati; Actinomycetota; Actinomycetes; Actinomycetales; Actinomycetaceae.
CGAACGCUGGCGGCGUGCUUAACACAUGCAAGUCGAACGGUGAAGGGGCCUGCUUUUGUGGGUCCUGGAUGAGUGGCGAACGGGUGAGUAACACGUGAGUAACCUGCCCCCUUCUUCUGGAUAACCGCAUGAAAGUGUGGCUAAUACGGGAUAUUCUGGGUCUGUCGCAUGGUGGGCCUGGGAAAGAUUGCGCUUUUUUUGGUGUUUUUGGUGGGGGAUGGGCUCGCGGCCUAUCAGCUUGUUGGUGGGGUGAUGGCCUACCAAGGCGGUGACGGGUAGCCGGCCUGAGAGGGUGGACGGUCACACUGGGACUGAGACACGGCCCAGACUCCUACGGGAGGCAGCAGUGGGGAAUAUUGCACAAUGGGCGCAAGCCUGAUGCAGCGACGCCGCGUGAGGGAUGGAGGCCUUCGGGUUGUGAACCUCUUUCGCCAGUGAAGCAGGCCUGCCUCGUUUGUGGGUGGGUUGACGGUAGCUGGAUAAGAAGCGCCGGCUAACUACGUGCCAGCAGCC